UACGAAGGGGGCUAGCGUUGUUCGGAUUUACUGGGCGUAAAGCGCACGUAGGCGGAUCGUUAAGUCGGGGGUGAAAUCCUGGAGCUCAACUCCAGAACUGCCUUCGAUACUGGCGAUCUCGAGUCCGGAAGAGGUGAGUGGAACUCCUAGUGUAGAGGUGGAAUUCGUAGAUAUUAGGAAGAACACCAGUGGCGAAGGCGAACUCACUGGUCCGGUACUGACGCUGAGGUGCGAAAGCGUGGGGAGCAAACAGG
RNAcentral lists this ribosomal RNA (254 nucleotides) under uncultured bacterium. RNAcentral describes it as "partial 16S ribosomal RNA". It matches the Rfam family "Bacterial small subunit ribosomal RNA", at positions 524 to 776 of the family's 1533-position model. The record is from RNAcentral.